This is a long non-coding RNA of Cynoglossus semilaevis (tongue sole), 2012 nucleotides long. RefSeq lists it as uncharacterized. The transcript has 2 exons. The record is from RefSeq and is a predicted model, not a curated record. NCBI's taxonomy places the organism in Eukaryota, Metazoa, Chordata, Actinopteri, Pleuronectiformes, Cynoglossidae.
CGUCCUGAUCCUGUAAUCCACAUAAUAAUCCCCUGACGCUAAAGAGAAAAAGGCCCAGUUGUGUGUGUGUGUGUGUGUGUGUGUGUGGUCAAGUGUGUGACACGCCGUAUUCCCGUUCUGCUACUGUCCAGCUCAGUGUUUGGUAAGAACCCCCCCCCCCCCCCCCCUUCACUCUUAAAGUUAAACACAAACAAAUUUCCCAUUGCGCUGUUCCUUUGUUUUAUAAGAACCUCAUGUACUUGCAGUAAAGUCUUGGCCAAAACCAGUGGGUUAUUCCAUCGAGCUGUAAUUCCUUUUGGGUUUGAAUUUCGGCAUCAAUCUUUUGCAGAAAUCAGCAUAUGAUUUUAUAUUUCAUGCUCACUUUAAAAUAAGUGAGAAUGUUUUACCGUGAAGUAGAAGUGACUUGGGACAUGGAGCUACUUAGCACUUCCACUGCAGCCAAAAACGACUCCAAUACCAGACCUAAUUCGUGAAAUGAGCAUUUCAAGGAAUUCACCACACAGACCUGAAUGCUACAGCCUCACAAAGACAACCAAGGAUUUCUAGGUCAGGCUAAUAAUUGGAAAAAUUGACUGUGGUUGUGGGCUCCUUUUUUUAUUUUUUUUUUAUUUUCUAAGACUGCAGUUUGUUGUAUUUCCCCAACAGAAAGAAUUUCCAUCUCCUGGCAUUUAGCAGUUCUGUCAGGGUGUGUAAGGUGGAUUGGCCAGAUAGGUUGAAGCAUUCUCCGCAUUAACAGGCCAGCGUUGUGGCAACAGCGUCUCUGCACACAUUAUCAAUUAAAGUGUUGCCCUGUUCAACAUGACCAGACAGGAGGAUGGAUUCAGGGAAAGGAGAAUGCCUCCAGUUUGUCCAGGCGAAUUCCACUGCUAGAAAUGACACAUCUCAAAUGGAUUCUCCAGAUUUUUUUUUUUUUUUUUUGUGUGCAAACCACCACUGGUGAAUGUGGCGGCCAUAGUAGGAGAAAAAAACGGGGAAUGAUAGUAAAAAUAAAAGACUGAGGGAAGAGAAGGAACGGGAGGUUUUCCAGGGUACAGCACCCCGCUGUUCAAACCUCAUCAUCUCUUUAGAAAAACGAUGGAGUCUCCAUGAAAUACUGCUCGGUUUUUAACACAGGAAAAUGUGGCAAUGAUAGAUGGACGCCGUGCACUUCAGUGACUGCUCCGUGUAGGGUAAUGCAAGGAAAGACAAAUACAGCCCACGGCCGCCGCCACAAAGGGGUUCUGUUUCUGCUUAAGAAGUGGAUCUUGCAUCAGGACCAGCACGACUCACUUUGGCCUGUGUUCAAAUGUUCUACUAGGAUAAAUAAGGACAUUAGCGCCGUACUUCAGGAGUCAACACAACCUCACACUGUCCUAUCUGUAUCAACACCUUGUAGCUGCAAACCACAAACCAGUCUGUUGCUAAGAUAAUCAACCGUUUCUCAACGACAGGGGGCUGCAACAGAAUGGGCCGGAGAGACUGAUUAGCCGCGGACAUUCCCCAAGAAUGGUUGAUUAUACGAAGCUACCCAGAAGCGGAGCAGCAGCUGAUGUCUGAUCAGUGACAACGUACAAGUCCACUUUCCAAGAAAAACCCGGGGCCAACAUUUACCAGAAUGUAAUACCUGAUCAUGUAGCCCUUAAUCUUUGCCUGUCGCUCAGCCUAAAUGAAGAGAACACGGCCAUUUGUACUAGGAGUGCUGCAGCGAGAGAAUCCAAAGACCAAAAAGCCUUAACUGGCAGAAAACUGGCAGUUACACAGGCUGUCAUGACCACUUCACAGCGUGCGCCCGCUGCCAGCAGCAUCUGGACGAACAAGACUCGCAGCUUCGUAGGAGAUUGGUGGUUCUCCAAGAGUUCCCUGGCAAAUGGCGCACAAAAGGGCUGGAUGCACAGAGUGAUGUGGACGGUGCAUGCACGGGUGGAGGAAUUUGGCAGACGGAGAGAAGGGGAGCAGCAGUAAGGUGCAUCAUUACCCUGCUGUCAGACAACACACUGACUCUGGAUGAUUCAGCAAAAAAAAAAAAAAAAAAA